Molecule: long non-coding RNA, 8111 nt
Filed under: Podarcis lilfordi (Lilford's wall lizard)
Lineage: Eukaryota; Metazoa; Chordata; Lepidosauria; Squamata; Lacertidae
Source: RNAcentral
AUUUCGGAUGCUGCCUCCAUUGAGAAUGCACUGGGGGGAACCGCUCUUGGCUUCAAUAGCAUCUAGCUUCGCUGAGAUGCCCAGGCCAAUGCUGAAGUCCACAAGGAUUAACUUUAUAUUGGGUGUGUAAAUAGCCCUUCACCUAGUCACCAGUGGUGAGUACAAAUCCUCCCCAAGUGAGCAGCAAGGAAUCUUCUGUAAAUUGGAAAAAGAACUGGUUUCUUUAUAUUUCCACUUAGACUGUCAGUAUGCCACAUAUAAAUAAUACAGGUAUAUGGGGACAGGUGGAGAGGUAAACUUGCAGACUAGAAACUUUUUUGAACUUAUAUGCAAGGCAACAGAAAUCCUCAAGCUACUUGUAGCUGUGAGAGUGCAUAUAGUGGGUACCAUCAAUGCAGCUGUGAUGACAUCCUCUGCAUGAGUACACCCUGCUCUGGUACAAGGAAACACUUUCUCCUCCUCUGCUUCCUCCUUAUCUGUUUUCCAGAUAUGCUAUUUCAUCAUCAUUUCUCUCUUGCUAGGACUCACUCUAUGUUCUUGUAAUUUGUCAUUUCUGUAAUUUGUUUUACAGGAUUUUAAAACUGUAUAUAUAUAUUUUUGUAACCUGCUGUCAAGGCUGCCUCAAGUCUUAGCUCACAAAAGACCAACGCCUAUGUCUUCUUAUAUACAAAGGUGUUUAUUGCAGUUCAUGGUUUGCUUGACAUCCUAGGCGCGCAGCCUUACGUCUCUUACGCUAGACCGCUGAAGUCCCCUCUGAGUCAGUCCCUCCCCUGCACCAAUUUAAGAGACUUGCGCUGCUCCACCUCUUUCUCUCCUUCCUUUUCCGCAGGGUCCUUCUGCCCACUGGGGUUUCGCCCCUCCUGGAUUCCUCUGACGCGGAAUCAGACUGCUCUUCAGCCCUCCUGCGGGCUUUGGGACCUGGCCCCUCCUCCGGGCUCCCUGCACUUCCGCGCGCCUCUACAUUUGAACUAGGCGCGCGCGCCAAACCUCUAACUUUCCUUUUGACAGUUACACUACUCCCUUCACUGCUCCCCUCCUCUUCCGGGAGGGCGGCUUGCUCUGACCCCCUCCUUUCUCUGCUGCUGGAGCUGCUUCCUCUGACACACUGGAAACUCCACCCCUUCGCUGCACUCUGGUGGGGAGGCUGGUCCUGACGCCCAGCUGCCACUUUGGGAUCCUCCGCUGGCACCCUGCUCCUGACACUUCCCCCUGGGGCUCCCUGGCCUUGACCACCGGCGCCCCCUUCUGGGAAUCCUCUGAUUCGCUGGAAAGACUCAUGGAAUCUCUUGAGUCAUUGUCAUCCUCUUCCUCGCUGGCUUGGAAUUCCUCCCCAUCGCUCUCCAUCUCCUGCCUACCCUGUGCCUCUCUCCCUGAACCCCUGACACCUGCCCUUAUGAGGGUGGAUGGGUAAGAAAGAUAAUCAAUAUUGCUACACGCCACCCUAGUCUCCCAGCAGUGUGAGCUUCCAGGCAUGCUUACCCAGGGUUUGUGUUUCCUUUCAGGAAUGAGGCACAGAGGAGACUGUGGUGUCUUUAUGAUAUAAGGUUUAUUUAUACAUAUAUACAACCUGAGCCCAUGAUGGAGGGAUUCACAGCAUUAAGAGGGUCUUGUUUCUCCUAUAGCUGCAGCUUUGGAUUCAAUCAACCAUUGUGUUCUGAUUCUCUCUCCAGCCUUUCCCAGCCUGCAACUUUUUCCUCCUCUAGGUUACAUCACAGCCACCUCUCAUCUCUACUUCAGACUCUGGCUUUGUCUUCUAACUGACUCUGAGAUGGCCCUACCCACUGAUCAUCUGGGCCACAGCCUUUGCUUUCUUAAUGGCCCAUUACCUUUCCUUUGUUUUCUUAAUGACCCAGGCAAUCUCCUGAACAUGGGAAGCUGGGUCCAGGGAUUAGGAGUUUUGAAUCCAGUUUAACACACACAAACCUUGAUUAAAAUCUAAAACUUACUGGACCCAGGAAUUUAGGGGUCAUAAGAAUACUAUUAAGAAUCACCAUUGUAUACAGGACUUUAGUACUGUAUGCUGCCUCUUCCUCCUCCCAACCCGGCCAUUCCUGCCAUUAACUCUAAAUCACCUCUUUCUCACCUGGACUAUGAGUAUGGUUUGGUAAAACUGAUUUUGACUCUGUUUGAUGCCUUGGAUCCAGAUCACUCAAACAAUUUCCUGAUUGCCUACAAUCUGCUUUCCAUACUGACCUCUGCCCCUUGGCUAUGCUGACAUUGCUAGUUUUGAACUGCCUGUGCAUACAUGAACAAUCCAUUAUACGGUCACUAAGCCGAAAGCCGGCCUAGUGACCUACAAUGCCAUUGGUUGAUAUAUAGUGCUGAUGCUUAAAAAUUGGCAUUAGGAAAGUAAUAGACUUGGAGGAAAACUCCAAUGAAUAUCAGUAAAGAGAACAUGAAGUUUCCCCUAUCAGAAUCUGCACACUUGAAGUUUAAAGACCUAACACAAAUAUGAAUUCUACCUUCUAAAACUGCUAUUUUUCUACUGUGCAAUUUUGAAAAUUGUGGUUGCCAGAAUGGUAGCGUUGACCCAAAUGGUGGAACACAUAACAUAGUCUACAGUGCCAGUGCAACAGCCACAGUUUGUGACAUUGCUUUGGCACUUUGGUCAUUGUGCUUUAUCUAACCUGCUGUUUUCCCCGGGAGCAGCUUGUAGGGCUGGAAAAUAAUGGAAGUAAAUUUGAUUUAAGUUGUGUGAGCAAGCAUAUUGAACAGGCUAGUAGUUUUGUGUGCUUUUGACUAGGUUUAUUUUAGUGGUGUUUUCAGUGCAUACUUAACACUGUCAUUUAAGCAGGGCAAGUGCAUUUGCUGAUCCUCCUGAGCCAUGGUAGGUUUUGCAAUUAGGAUCACUAACGCUUUCCAGCGCCACUAAUGUUCAAAGAAAAUUGCAAAUAAUCUGGAUGCAAUUAUUGGGUUGGCACAGGAACUAUGAUAGGGGGAUUACACACUGCUUUUUCUUAAACACUUUAGCACAAUAAGAUCUUCAGUUAUGUUACCACUUUAUUCAUUGGGGGUUUUUUAUAUUAAAAAACUAAAAAGACCCACCAAGGAAGAUGUCACCAGACAAUUCUCACCAUUGACUCAGAAGGCUCCUUAGUUCUUUGUAUCAGAGUUUUAGCCAGAGAACUACAACACGGUUAAGCCAGGGUAAUUAGUGUUAAGAUGAUGAGCAUCAGGCCAAUUCAUAACUUUUUAAAGUGUAUAGGAAGUCGAAUCCAGAGAUCAUUUCCAGACUUCAGAGAAACUGGUCUAUCUGAAUUUUCAAAGAAAAGAUAAGUACAGUGGUACUUCUGGUUCCGAACUUAAUUUGUUCCAGAGGUCUGUUCUUAAGCUGAAACCGUUCUUAUCCUGAGGUGCACUUUCACUAAUGGGGCCUGCCUCUGGCACGCGAUUUCCAUUUGCAUCUUGGGGCAAAGUUCACAACCAGGAGCAGUUACUUCCGGGUUAGCGGAGCUCAUAACCUGAAGCGUUCGUAACCAGAGGUACCACUGUAACAAGAUUCCAGUUUAAGAAGGGACACUCUAGGACAGUGUUGGGGGAUCUAUGGCUUACUAAAUGUGGUUGGUUCCCAUAAUCUCUGACCAUUGACCAUACUGGCUGGGGUUGAUGGGAUCUGAAGUCCAACAACAUUCUCCUACCCUGCUAGAGAGGCCACUGAAGCUCCCUCCAAGUGGUGUGAUGGCGAGAGGUGUAGCCCAAGUCUAUGCAUCUUCUACAUGAGUAAAUUCUAUGGUGUGUCAUGGGACUUACUUUCAGGAAAGAGAACAUCAGGGCUCCUGCCAUGUGUGCCAGCACAUAAUACACCUAGAGCUCCCACAUAAAGACCAGAACUCAGGUACAUCUGAUGUAGCUGCUGUGUUGGUGGUGGGAGGAAUUAAACAUAUGAUGCUGUUGCUAGAAAAUAGUUACUAUGUUGACACAUCCUCUUAACCAAAAGAUGAUGUAUAAGAAGCAACCAGCUUUACGAGAAUUGUCCGUGCUUUUGUUCCACACAUUUUUGAGAAAGAUGAAGAUGAACUGGAAAGAAUUCCGAGGACAACAUGGAUGAUAAAAGAUUCAGAAUGCCAGACCUCUGAGGAAAGGUUGGAAGAAAUGGGAAUGUUUAGUCUCAAGAGCAGAGAGCUGAAAGAGAACAUGGCCACGGUCUUUAGUUAUGUAAAAAUCUGGAAUGAAAUGAUGCAAAAAUACAAUUGUUCUGCUUGGCCUCUUAGGAGAGGGCAAGCUGGAUUUAUGGUAUAGGAAGAACAACUUGGGCAGCAGCUCAGGAACUGUAACAGCCUUACCAGGAACAGAUAGGCAACAAAAUAAAUUGCCCGUGGGAGCUUGGGGAAUCUCCCUUAUUGGGCUCUUUUGAAAAAAUCAGGUUAAAUAAGCAUAUGGCAAGACUUUUCCCAGAACAAUUAAUCUUGCCAUAGCAUAAAUCAUAGGCAGCAUAUAAUGGCAUAUAAUGUUCUCUCUCAUAUGCACACUUAACCUGGGGGUAUAUCCCAUUGAAAUGAGCAGACUGACUUUUGAGUGGAUGUGUAGAAUUGUGUUCUAAGGCUCUUCAUAAUUCAAUGGAACCUCCUUCUGGGCAGAUAUGUAUAGGACUGCAUAGUAAAUUAAGCCCUUUUCAGGCAUCAAAUGAAUGAGUGAGGACUCCAGUCGAAUAGGGGCAUGGGACAGGUGGGGGAAACACACCUGUGCCCCAACGUUACUGUGUUCACCUCCCCAUCCCCUUCUCUUUUCUGUGUGAGCAUGAAAAUCUGCAGAAAAUCCUAAAGGACCUAACCACAUUCAGCUUAACAGGUUCCUGGUUGCAGGAAAGAUUCUAACCAUGGUUCAAUGGAACACAGUUCCAGUCUCCCUUCAGACUUUCACACCGAAUGCACAAAGCUUGGGAGAGGGAAGACAGUGAGACUUGGGGGGCAGGUGGGCAGGGGAACUACACCUUCCUGAGCAAAACAUUAGACCUGUCUAAAAUAGUCACAAGCACAAGGAAACAGAGGGUGUGAUUUAAGCAGAAAAUGACCGUAGCUCUAGAUGAGCUUGUAACGUUCCUGCAAGCCAAAUGACCAUAUACAGAUUUUAUUUUUGAGCAUGUUCAUAGCUAUGCUGCCACCAGUGAUCUGCUCUUAUUGAUAAAUAUUUUCCAGGUGAUAUAUUUCACAAAGUCCACAGGAAGUUAAAUUGGGACGAAUUAAUAAUUUAUCGAGCCAAGUGUACUGUCUCUGAGGGCCAAAGUACAGUACAAGCUGUUCUUAGUGUGUAAAGUGCCUCUUGCCUUUCUCUUUUACUUAACUGCAAGCAAUUGCACCAAUAAAUGGGAGGGAGCAAUUGCUCUUAGGCUUAACUUCACAGGCACCGCCAGAGAUGGCUCCAAGAUUUGAAAGGCCCACCCUCAGUGUAUUGACUUCUUCAUCACCAUUCUCACAGCAGGCGGCUGCUCUUCCUCAUCCUUGCCACCACCUGUUUGCUUGCCAGGUGGAGUGCCAAUGAGGAAGUCAGAAAGGCCACCUGCCACUCCUCCUUCUCACCACUGCUGGUCCAGAGGGAGACAUGAGUGAACAAGCAGGUUGCAACGGAGAAGAGAGAAGAAGCAAGUACUGGGGGCUCUUGCCCCUGCCCACCUCCUUUCUUUACCUUGAAACUAGAGUGCUUGUAAAAUAGAGGACACCUAAACAGGAAUUUCCUCUAUAAAGUAGUCAUGGCUUUCCUAGAUGAUGAAGAUAAUUUAUUACCCUUCCUUCACCCCAGGGCCUGCUGGCUUGGUCCUGGGACAGUGGGUCUCCAGGGCCGUGUACACAUGUGUGUCUGAUGUCAGUACACCUACAGGUGCAUUUUUGAGAGGGGGUGUGACUAGGUGCCCCUCAUUCCCUCACUGGAGCCUGGCUCUGGCGUGCAAGUGGAGCUCCGCUCACGGGUCAAGUCUGACCCGGAGGCGGAUUGGAGGAGAGGCGGCAGCAGCAGCAGUGGUGUAGGAAGGGGGCUGGUGGGGGCGGUCUGCCCCGGUGUCAUCUCUGAGGGGGGGGUGACAAAAUCCCUCCUUGGUGGGUCGCCGCACCCCUGGGUGCCGAUUGCCAUGUCAAUCGCCCCCAAUGGGCAACAGUUGCCUCCAAUGGGUGCCAGCCAUAGGCUCCCGCUGUCCGCCCGCUGCCUCCACCCCAGCUGUAGGGUGGAUGAGGCCCAUGGCAUGCCCCAUCUCUAUGGGUGCCGUGCACCCCGUCCCUCCCUAAGGGCGCCUAUGUGUGCCCCGCCCCUAUGGGUGCCGCAUGCCCUGCCCCUAUGCGUGGUUCUCCUUGCCCCUGGGCGCGCUGCCCCAGGUGCCCAAGGGGCUUCCUCCGCUGCUGAGCAUUACUGCCCCUCUCCUACGCUGGGGUGCCCACGUGAGGGAGCAGCCAGCUCCUUCACACCCAGUCUCAGCACCGCUCCUGGGUCAGGUUUGACCUGAGAGGCAGAGAGAGGAAGGAAAGUCAUGGCAGCAUUGCCGCUCUUCUCCUCAGCUGGACCCGCAUAAAAAUUUGUGGGUGCCCUGCCCCUUCAUGGGGAAUGUUGUGGGGGCUGGAGCACCCACAGCCCCUCACACUUGGUGCCUAUGCUUCUCCCUAAGGUCCUAGGCUAGGGAAUAAGAAUGGUUUAAAACAACUGACACUCACAGAAAUGAGGUGAGCCUUGAAAAUAUACACCUCAAGGACCAGGGCGAAGUAGUGCAUAUUCAGCACACACUGGAAGCUGUAUAAUGAAGGUUCCAGACACACCUCUGUAGGAAUUCCACAACUUUGGCGGUUGCCACAGAGAAUGCCCACUUCUGGGCUGCAAGCCCCCAAACUUUUGAGGGUGAUGAAACAGCCAAGAGAGCCUCCUUCUGCCAAUCUUAGCACCAGAGAGGGUCUGUUGGGAUGGAGGUGGUCUUACAGGUAUGAGGGGUAGCUCCAACUGGUGGUGAUGAGUUGUGGUGGAACAAGCCUGCUGCUCAGACAUUUGAUAAGCAAUGGAAUCAUGGAGUUCACUUUUCCAAAUCUUACCUGCUCUACUUUAUGAACCUACCUAUGAUAUUUGGAAAUACCUUUUAAAAUAAGGGGAUUCUGCUUUCUGGUGUGACUAGGAAUGGAGACUUACACAUCUCUUACUUGCACAGUUUGCAUGAGUACUGUUCAACAUCUAUGGGUCUGUGGGGGGAAGGAGGUGGGGUUUGGGAAGCAGAGGGCAACUGAGCAAUGGAGGCCUGGAAAAAGAGUGUGAGCAGAAUGCCAAAAAGCAUUGUUGAGCAGAAUCCAUUCCAUUCCAUUAGCCAAAGAAGCUGAAAGCCCCCUUCCCCCAGCCCCCCACCAAAUACACUUUUUAAAAUUACAUUUUGAGUAGUUUCCCAAAACUCUUAACACAAGAGAGUGGCGGAUGGGUGAAACAGAGCCUUGAGAAAUCACACUUUUCUUUUAGCUUGACAAAUCCCAGAACCUUUUGCAUUUUUAAACCUUUUAAAAUUUCUUUUUGGCUCCUUUUUAAAAUAAAAAAAUAAUGAUGAUAUAACCAGACUGCCUAAAAAUAAGCAGUAGCGUUUUUUCCUUUACAGAUGGGAGAAACCUGCCAAAAAAGAAGUGCGGGGUUUUGAUUUCUGCAGCGUGUUUCUAAUACUUCCAACACUGAACCCAGAACUUAUUCAUUUUCUGCUUCCUCCAAGAAAUCAUCUCAGUGAAGGGAUAGUGGGAAUGGGUGGUUUUGUGUCAGUAACAACAACAACAACAACAAAAAGACGUCUCUCUCUGCUCUCUGUACUUUAAUCUCGUUGCACUCAGAAAUUGCACUCAGAAAUUCCCAACACCAUUUACUAAGAAAUAGAAAGCCAUGUCCAAAGUAUCUCUCUCAGACAGCGGAUGUUCCUGAUAAGAAACUCUGGGAAGGCAGUGGCUCCAUUCAGGCUGGCAAAUGCGGAUGAUCAAAUUCACCUCUCUGUAUGGUGCUGGAGGAGACUCUUGGGAGUCCCAUGGACUGCAAGAAGAUCAAACCUAUCCAUUAUGAAGGAAAUCAGCCCUGAGUGCUCACUGGAAGGACAGAUCCUGAAGCUGAGGCUCCAAUACUUUGGCCACCUCAUGAGAAGACUCCCUGGAAAAGACCCUGAUGUUGGGAAAGAUGGA